UCCAAGUAGGCUAGGCUUAUGUUCCUAAUAGAAUAGGAUAAAUUAUAGUAUAAAUAUUAUAUUAUUAUAGUUUUUGGAUGGGAAAUAGUUCUCGGAGUUAUGUUUAGUAUGAUUGGGGAUGUUUUAGCCUAUUAAGGAAUUAAAAUUAGGGAUAAUUUACUUAAUUAUUCUUUCUUUGGUUAGAAUUGCUUUCCUAAGACUAAAAUAUGGAUUAUUUAAA
This 220-nucleotide long non-coding RNA is filed under the name Capsicum annuum. Its description in RNAcentral is "long non-coding RNA (CANN_LNC011443)". Lineage: Eukaryota; Viridiplantae; Streptophyta; Magnoliopsida; Solanales; Solanaceae. The record is from RNAcentral.